CAAAAACAUCGCCUCUUGAAUUAGAAAUAAGAGGUCCAGCCUGCCCAGUGACUAAUGUUCAACGGCCGCGGUAUCCUAACCGUGCGAAGGUAGCGUAAUCACUUGUUCUUUAAAUGUGGACUAGUAUGAACGGCACCACGAGGGUUAUACUGUCUCCUUUCUCCAAUCAGUGAAACUAAUCUCCCCGUGAAGAAGCGGGGAUAUACUUAUAAGACGAGAAGACCCUAUGGAGCUUUAAAGUUAUCUUCAAACGCCAAACCUCUUCCAAGUCAUAGACUCCUUCACGAAACCACGCGCCAUGAAGACAACUUUUAGGUUGGGGUGACCAUGGAGUAUAAAACAACCUCCACGCUGAACAGGCCUCUAAACCUUUAGCCAAGGGCCACAGCCCGCCGCACUAAAAAAUUAACACACAUUGAUCCAAUGAAUUUUGAUCAACGAACCAAGUUACCCUAGGGAUAACAGCGCAAUCUACUUCAAGAGUUCCUAUCGACAAGUGGGUUUACGACCUCGAUGUUGGAUCAGGGUGUCCCAGUGGUGCAGCCGCUACUAAUGGUUCGUUUGUUCAACGAUUAAAACCCU
RNAcentral lists this ribosomal RNA (582 nucleotides) under Scinax nasicus group sp. ABGD cluster 29. RNAcentral's name for it is "partial large subunit ribosomal RNA". It matches the Rfam family "Bacterial large subunit ribosomal RNA", at positions 1808 to 2597 of the family's 2925-position model. The record is from RNAcentral. Lineage: Eukaryota; Metazoa; Chordata; Amphibia; Anura; Hylidae.